Molecule: regulatory RNA element, 107 nt
Organism: Gracilibacillus kekensis
Lineage: Bacteria; Bacillati; Bacillota; Bacilli; Caryophanales; Bacillaceae
Rfam family: TPP riboswitch aptamer (THI element)
About the family: Vitamin B(1) in its active form thiamin pyrophosphate (TPP) is an essential coenzyme that is synthesised by coupling of pyrimidine and thiazole moieties in bacteria. The previously detected thiamin-regulatory element, thi box was extended, resulting in a new, highly conserved RNA secondary structure, the THI element, which is widely distributed in eubacteria and also occurs in some archaea.
Source: Rfam
AGAAACCACUAGGGGUGUCUUUUAAAGACUGAGAUUAAAGUAUUACUUUAAGACCCUUAGAACCUGAUCUGGUUUAUACCAGCGUAGGGAAGUGGCAAGAAGUGAUA